AUGUAUCUCAGGAGCCUGCACCUUUCAAAGAAGAUAAACAGUCUACAAAUCAGUUGUCUCUCUUCAGUUUCCCUAAAGACAGAAGUUAUCACAUCUCCUCAGUUAAACAUACUGUUAGCAAAAGCAAGAACAUACGUAGAUCACACAUACAUAUAUGGAAUGCUUUGCAAUUACAGCCCAAGUGUUUGUUUCUUAGACAAAUAUGCAGGAAAAGGCAAAAGGGUCUUCUGGUAUUUAAGGCAUGAAUCAAAUCAUCCCCAAGGGCUGGAGGCUGCAAGGGGCAUCAGUAACCAGGCCAUACAAAUUUGGAAGGGUGCACACCCUUGGGCGGAGAGGAACCUCAUGAAGUUCAACAAAGGGAAGUGCAGGGUCCUGCACCUARGGAGGGAUAACCCCAUGCACCAGUAUAGACUGGGAGUUGACCUGCUGCAAAGCAGCUCUGCAGAGAAGGACCUGGGAGUGUUGGUGGACAACAAGGUGACCAUGAGCCAGCAACGUGCCCUUGUGGCCAAGAAGGCCAAUAGUAUCCUGGGGUGCAUCAGGAAGAGUGUUGCCAGCAGGUCGAGGGAGGUGAUUCUCCCCCUCUACUCAGCCCUGGUGAGGCCACAUCUGGAGUACUGCGUCCAGUUCUGGGCUCCCCAGUACAAGAGGGAUGUGGCACUACUGGAGCAAGUCCAGCGAAGGGCCACAAAGAUGAUGAGGGGACUGGAGCAUCUCUCUUAUGAGGAAAGGCUGAGAGAGCUGGGCCUGUUUAGCUUGGAGAAGAGAAGACAGAGAGGGGAUCUUUGUGUACAAGUAUCUGAAGGGAGGGUGUCAAGAGGAUGGGGCCAGACUCUUCUCAGUGGUGCCCAGCGACAGGACGCGAGGCAAUGGGCACAACCUGAAACACAGACACUUCCAUCUGAAUAUGAGGAAAAACUUCUUCACUGUGAGGGUGACAGAGCACUGGAACAGGUUGCCCAGGGAGGUUGUGGCGUCUCCUUCUCUGGAGAUAUUCAAAACCCUCCUGGACGCAAUCCUGUGCAAUGUGCUCUAGGUGACCCUGCUUGA
RNAcentral lists this long non-coding RNA (1050 nucleotides) under Apteryx haastii (Great spotted kiwi). Its description in RNAcentral is "lncRNA (ENSAHAG00000012597.1)". The record is from RNAcentral. Lineage: Eukaryota; Metazoa; Chordata; Aves; Apterygiformes; Apterygidae.